Long non-coding RNA from Cornus florida, 2491 nucleotides. RefSeq lists it as uncharacterized. The record is from RefSeq and is a predicted model, not a curated record. The transcript is spliced from 2 exons. NCBI's taxonomy places the organism in Eukaryota, Viridiplantae, Streptophyta, Magnoliopsida, Cornales, Cornaceae.
UAGCAACGUGAGUCUGAUUGACGUGGUACCGAGUGUUGAGACAAUGAGAGGACUACAUGAACACUCGAGAGAAUGAGAGAACUCCAGAGCGUCAUCAAUUCGAAACCCUAGCUGCUGUUUCUUUCGCAGGUGAAAUUUCACGAAAUUUCAAACAAAAUCUCAAACAUAGCAUGGAUUCGAACUCCAGUGACAGACGUUCAGUGUUUAAGGUUUAUUCAUCCCCUUGUAUAUGGUUAGUAUCCUAGAACAAUGCAAGAAAUUGUUGGAGAUAGACUGCCCAAUUCACAGAAGAAGAGGUGUCAACCAACAUACUUAUAUAGAGAAUCCAAAGAAUCAAACCAAACCAAAAGAGCUGGGCUACCGACAGGACUGGAAUACUGGAUUUGUUUGCAAGAAAUUGUCCUACUCUGUUUUCUUGCUUGGGCUUUGCAGAGUAGCGGAAAGCAGAUUGGUAGGUAAUUUUAGUCACAUCAUACAUUGAUCUCUAUGUCCAAGUUCACAUCAAGUUUCUACAAGAGAUUUUAUUGAUUUUAUUUUUCAAUUAAUUACUCAUAGUUUUAGCUUUUUAAUUGAAUAUCUGCAGGCAAAUUCUUAUUGACUUUACAAUGUACCUUGGGGUCUGUACAAAGCAGUGAAGUACAUCAAAGAAAACUAUGAAAAUCCCACCAUUAUUUUGGCUGAAAACAUUAUAUAUUAUUAACCUUUUUCACAUUAAAAAUCAUGUGCUGGUAUGCUGUCCAUUGUCUUGGUGUUUUUAGAAUUUUGCACUAGUAGUCUUUAGAUCUGCUAGUCCAAACCAUGAAAAGAGAAACAUCCUGACUCACGGUUUGGCUUUCAAGAUGAGAGUGCUCUAUUUUGCCGUUCAGCAGGUACGAGUCCUAUUCGAUUUCAAUCAAUUUGAUCUAUAUUAUUACACAAAGUCAAUGAAACUUUUUUUUCGUCAUUCUACAGGUCAUUCAACUUAAAGAGCUUAGUCUUCGUUUCUUCCUAUUUCUAUAGCAGAUUAUUAUCAUUGUUAUUUUUAACAUUUAAGUCCAUAAAAUUGAUUUGUUUGGAUACAAAAAAUAUUUCAGUGGAAACAAAAAUUCAAUCUGGGUGUUGUACUGGUGAUAGUUCUUUAGUUUUCAAUUAUAUUAAAUUACCAUCUUAGAAAAAACUGAUUAAUUGUUGAUGUGGGAUCCAGGGGAGGCAAAGGAGGACCAUGCUAAAGUAACUACUUACUGUUAGCUAUAACAGGUGAAAAUAAUUGUUGUCUGAUCCAAUAUUAUAAAAUUGGCAUAAAUAUUCUUUCUUUGCAUAUCAUUAAUAAAAGAAUCAUAGUACUUAUCAAAAUAAAUAAAUAAUAAAAGAAUCAUAUCAUUAACUCAAGUUUCAUCCAAAUUCUCUCUACUAGAGUACCUGUAAGUUAAUGGACAAGAGUGUAUACUUGGUGUUUACCCCCACUUUGCUUGUUCUGUUUUGCAUGAUAGUUUUUAGAAUUUUGAAAAAAUAUUCAAUUGAUUGGACUGAUACCUUCAACCCUUUCUCAGAUUCCAAACUUUUUGUUGUGCAGGAGUUUGUGGAAUGUGCUGUAAGCAAGUGAUUGACAUCAAUUAUUACAAACAAAAUAAUGUAUGAUGGAAACAAGAUGUUGGUAUUGUGGUCCCUGUUGCUCCUCUGGGGUAUCAGCAGUAAGGUCCACAGUAUAUCUUGCUGUUGAUUCUUGUAUCCCCUAUUUUUUUCUAUCUGCUAGUGGUCUAAACCUUCGGUCUUCAUAUUGCCCUUUGUUUUUUACGGCAAUGAGUGCUGUCUGGCAAUUAAGGAAGAUGAGAAGAGACUUCGCUCCAUGGCAUGAUGGCAUCAGUUUGUCAAGUACAAUUCAAUUUCUAUGUAUUCAAUUUCACAAUGGCAAAUGGUGACAGAUUCAGGCCGGUAACCGGUAUGCUCAGAACCCAGUCGUCCAAUAGCCGGCCAAAUGAGAUCUCCACCUAUGUUGAUACUGUUACCGUAAGCAUAGAACGAGGAAAAUGGAACUAUUGGAAUGGCAGCCCAGAAGUGUUGGUUUGAAUCCAACUCGUGACAGCCGUCAGGUGCUGGAGAUUUGUAAGGCCCCCCCCAUAAAGCUUAUCUGAUCUCAUCUUCAGGAGACUCUUUGUGGGAAGAUCUUGAUUCAUUUCUUCUGUCAUUUUUUGAGGAAUAUUCAUUCAACACUUUGGGCCAAGUCAGGCUUUUGUGACUAAAUCUUUCUUUUUUUUUUUCUUUUUUUUUUUUUUUUAAUAAAAUUAGUCUCUCAGGUGAGAACACACCAAAACUAGUAGGAACUGAAAGACAAAUUCUAGGUAUGCAGCUUUUGUUUUGGUGUAUGCAUUUACCACCAUAGACAUUGCUUUAUGUAGCUUCUCUUUCAUUAACAAUUGUAAAUGAGUCGAAUAAUUUGAGCUAGUUGAUGACUGGAUAGGCAAAUAUGGAUUUGGCUUAUAUGAAGAAUAUUAUGCAUUUGAUUUACUUUUCA